UACAGAGGUCUCAAGCGUUGUUCGGAUUCAUUGGGCGUAAAGGGUGCGUAGGCGGUGUGGUAAGUCGAAUGUGAAAUCUCGGAGCUCAACUCCGAAACUGCAUUCGAUACUGCCAUACUCGAGGAUUGUAGAGGAGAUCGGAAUUCACGGUGUAGCAGUGAAAUGCGUAGAUAUCGUGAGGAAGACCAGUUGCGAAAGCGGAUCUCUGGGCAACUCCUGACGCUGAGGCACGAAGGCUAGGGGAGCAAACGGG
RNAcentral lists this ribosomal RNA (253 nucleotides) under uncultured bacterium. RNAcentral's name for it is "partial 16S ribosomal RNA". It matches the Rfam family "Bacterial small subunit ribosomal RNA", at positions 524 to 776 of the family's 1533-position model. The record is from RNAcentral.